This 354-nucleotide ribosomal RNA is filed under the name uncultured bacterium. Its description in RNAcentral is "partial 16S ribosomal RNA". It matches the Rfam family "Bacterial small subunit ribosomal RNA", at positions 338 to 689 of the family's 1533-position model. The record is from RNAcentral.
CCUACGGGUGGCAGCAGUGAGGAAUAUUGGUCAAUGGGCGAGAGCCUGAACCAGCCAAGUCGCGUGAAGGAUGACGGCCCUACGGGUUGUAAACUUCUUUUGUCAGGGAGCAAUUGGGUCCACGCGUGGGCUUAGCGAGAGUACCUGAAGAAAAAGCAUCGGCUAACUCCGUGCCAGCAGCCGCGGUAAUACGGAGGAUGCGAGCGUUAUCCGGAUUUAUUGGGUUUAAAGGGUGCGUAGGCGGAAUAACAAGGCAGCGGUAAAAAUUCGGGGCUCAACCCCGACGUGCCGUUGAAACUGGUGUUCGUGAGUGGGCGAGAAGUAUGCGGAAUGCGUGGUGUAGCGGUGAAAUGC